This 74-nucleotide transfer RNA is filed under the name Mycolicibacterium phlei. Its description in RNAcentral is "tRNA-Arg(ccg)". It matches the Rfam family "tRNA". Rfam says of the family: Transfer RNA (tRNA) molecules are approximately 80 nucleotides in length. Their secondary structure includes four short double-helical elements and three loops (D, anti-codon, and T loops). Lineage: Bacteria; Bacillati; Actinomycetota; Actinomycetes; Mycobacteriales; Mycobacteriaceae. RNAcentral also lists the same sequence under 14 other names. The record is from RNAcentral.
GCCCUCGUAGCUCAGGGGAUAGAGCGUCUGCCUCCGGAGCAGAAGGCCGCAGGUUCGAUUCCUGCCGAGGGCAC